Molecule: long non-coding RNA, 230 nt
Filed under: Nicotiana benthamiana
Lineage: Eukaryota; Viridiplantae; Streptophyta; Magnoliopsida; Solanales; Solanaceae
Description: long non-coding RNA (NBEN_LNC000900)
Source: RNAcentral
GUUUCAGUCAUUUUAUGUAUGCCCUUUCAACAACAUUUGGCGCCAAAACCUGCCAUAUGUAUGUCAUGUUGACCUGAAACUAGUUAGUAUUUUAUUUGGAAGUGUUAAAUAAGGAUCUCUGCCUGUGAUUUCUUGGCACCUACCUUAGUUGGGUGGUUUUUAUGCUGAAAUUGGUAAGACAACGGAGAUAUUGGAGGUGGUAUGUUAGGAGCACUUACAUGUCAAAGGUG